Molecule: ribosomal RNA, 254 nt
Filed under: uncultured bacterium
Lineage: Bacteria
Description: partial 16S ribosomal RNA
Rfam family: Bacterial small subunit ribosomal RNA
Source: RNAcentral
UACGGAGGGGGCAAGCGUUGUUCGGAAUUACUGGGCGUAAAGGGCGCGCAGGCGGCUGCUCAAGUCAGGCGUGAAAGGCCUGGGCUCAACCCGGGAAUUGCGCUUGAGACUGGGCCGGCUUGAGUGCGGGAGAGGAUGGUGGAAUUCCCAGUGUAGAGGUGAAAUUCGUAGAUAUUGGGAAGAACACCGGUGGCGAAGGCGGCCAUCUGGACCGCAACUGACGCUGAGGCGCGAAAGCGUGGGGAGCAAACAGG